RNAcentral lists this ribosomal RNA (253 nucleotides) under uncultured bacterium. RNAcentral describes it as "partial 16S ribosomal RNA". It matches the Rfam family "Bacterial small subunit ribosomal RNA", at positions 524 to 776 of the family's 1533-position model. The record is from RNAcentral.
UACGAAGGGGGCUAGCGUUGCUCGGAAUCACUGGGCGUAAAGGGUGCGUAGGCGGGUCUUUAAGUCAGGGGUGAAAUCCUGGAGCUCAACUCCAGAACUGCCUUUGAUCCUGAGGAUCUUGAGUUCGGGAGAGGUGAGUGGAACUGCGAGUGUAGAGGUGAAAUUCGUAGAUAUUCGCAAGAACACCAGUGGCGAAGGCGGCUCACUGGCCCGAUACUGACGCUGAGGCACGAAAGCGUGGGGAGCAAACAGG